Engraulis encrasicolus (European anchovy) is the source of this 259-nucleotide long non-coding RNA. RefSeq lists it as uncharacterized. The record is from RefSeq and is a predicted model, not a curated record. NCBI's taxonomy places the organism in Eukaryota, Metazoa, Chordata, Actinopteri, Clupeiformes, Engraulidae. The transcript is spliced from 3 exons.
GUCUGAACAUCAGGUCAUGGACAGAGGACCAAAGAUGCGGCUCUUCAUCACAGCUCUACUGUGGUCGCUCCUGGUCAUUACUGCUUCAGGAUCCCAAGACAGAUAUGAACUGAGAAGUGACCCAGAUGCUGAGAACUACCAUAUAGACAUCAGCCUACCUGCAGAGCACAAGAGAGCUCAACCCCAUGUGGUAAGCUUCUGAAUAUAAAACACUGACCCAUAUGCUAACCGCUCAGAUAAACGUCUUCCAUUUUUGUUG